CUAGUACUCCCUCUGUCCCAAAAUUUUUGUCUUAGAUUUAUCUAGAUACGGAUGUAUCUAACACUAAAAUGUGAAUAGAUGCAUCCGUAUCUAGACAAAUCUAAGACAAGAAUUUUGGGACGGAGGGAGUAUCUG
Non-coding RNA from Triticum aestivum (bread wheat), 135 nucleotides. Lineage: Eukaryota; Viridiplantae; Streptophyta; Magnoliopsida; Poales; Poaceae. The record is from Rfam.